AUGGAUAUUUACAAAAAACACCCCGAAUCGUUUCAGAUCUCCAUUCCCCAGUCCUUGCCUCUUCUUCUCCUUCUCUCCCAAUCUCUCUCACGGCGAUUUGGGGGCGGCGGCGCCAUGGUUCGGAGCUGGAGCGCGUCAGCGAGCUCUUCCUGGCCGCCUUCCUCUGACCCUGAGGCUGGUGCAUCUCUCCCUCUACUUAAGUGCUGCACGUGCGGCUGGAGGCAAGUGAUUCGUCUGGUUUCCAAAUCUGACAGGAAUCCAGGACGGGUUUUCUUCAAAUGCCCUAAUCACAAGGUCACUUUCGUUGUUUGA
RNAcentral lists this ribosomal RNA (312 nucleotides) under Triticum aestivum (bread wheat). Its description in RNAcentral is "partial small subunit ribosomal RNA". The record is from RNAcentral. Lineage: Eukaryota; Viridiplantae; Streptophyta; Magnoliopsida; Poales; Poaceae.